This 745-nucleotide ribosomal RNA is filed under the name uncultured bacterium. Its description in RNAcentral is "bacterial SSU rRNA". It matches the Rfam family "Bacterial small subunit ribosomal RNA", at positions 8 to 796 of the family's 1533-position model. The record is from RNAcentral.
AGAGUUUGAUCCUGGCUCAGAGCGAACGCUGGCGGCAGGCUUAACACAUGCAAGUCGAGCGGGCGUAGCAAUACGUCAGCGGCAGACGGGUGAGUAACGCGUGGGAACAUACCUUUUGGUUCGGAACAACACAGGGAAACUUGUGCUAAUACCGGAUAAGCCCUUACGGGGAAAGAUUUAUCGCCGAAAGAUUGGCCCGCGUCUGAUUAGCUAGUUGGUGAGGUAACGGCUCACCAAGGCGACGAUCAGUAGCUGGUCUGAGCGGAUGAUCAGCCACACUGGGACUGAGACACGGCCCAGACUCCUACGGGAGGCAGCAGUGGGGAAUCUUGCGCAAUGGGCGAAAGCCUGACGCAGCCAUGCCGCGUGAAUGAUGAAGGUCUUAGGAUUGUAAAAUUCUUUCACCGGGGAAGAUAAUGACGGUACCCGGAGAAGAAGCCCCGGCUAACUUCGUGCCAGCAGCCGCGGUAAUACGAAGGGGGCUAGCGUUGCUCGGAUUUACUGGGCGUAAAGGGCGCGUAGGCGGACAGUUUAGUCAGACGUGAAAUCCCCCGGCUUAACCAGGGAACUGCGUCUGAUACUGGAUGGCUUGAGUUUGGGAGAGGGAUGCGGAAUUCCAGGUGUAGCGGUGAAAUGCGUAGAUAUCUGGAGGAACACCGGUGGCGAAGGCGACAUCCUGGACCAACACUGACGCUGAGUGAGCGAAAGCCAGGGGAGCAAACGGGAUUAGAUACCCUCGUAGUCC